GAUGAACGCUAGCGGCAGGCUUAACACAUGCAAGUCGAGGGGCAGCGGGAUGUAGCAAUACAUUGCCGGCGACCGGCGCAAGGGUGCGUAACGCGUGAGCAACAUGCCCGUCACAGGAGGAUAAACCAUGGAAACGUGGCCUAAUACUCCAUAGUAUGUAGAGAAGGCAUCUUUUUACAUUAAAGCUUCGGUGGUGACGGAUUGGCUCGCGUGACAUUAGCUAGAUGGAGAGGUAACGGCUCACCAUGGCGACGAUGUCUAGGGGAACUGAGAGGUUUAUCCCCCACACUGGUACUGAGACACGGACCAGACUCCUACGGGAGGCAGCAGUGAGGAAUAUUGGACAAUGGAUGGAAAUCUGAUCCAGCCAUGCCGCGUGCAGGAAGACGGCCCUAUGGGUCUUAAACUGCUUUUGUAUGGGAGCAAUAAGCUUUACGUGUAGAGUGAUGAGAGUACCAUACGAAUAAG
This 468-nucleotide ribosomal RNA is filed under the name uncultured bacterium. RNAcentral's name for it is "bacterial SSU rRNA". It matches the Rfam family "Bacterial small subunit ribosomal RNA", at positions 28 to 490 of the family's 1533-position model. The record is from RNAcentral.